CAUGAUUGCCGCAGUGACUGUUGCAUGGAAGAUGUGCGAUCUCUUUUCCCAUGUCACUGCUUCGCCAAACAGAUGAGGUUACAAAGGCAAUGAAAAGGCCACGGAGAACACUGGGAAGAAACAAGAAAUGAAAACGAGAAACCAUCACAACAUAUACAAGCUUGGCAGGUUUCUGGAAAAGCAUUAAUCUCUCAUGGCUUGUUCUUGCACAACAGGUGUGAGGGCCACAUAAAUUACUCAGCCACUGCUGCUCCAGUCUGUGUUUAUGGGGCCUGUAGUUAAAUGACCUGAUUCAAUCUUCAUGUCCUUUCUCUAGUGUUAUUUCUUGCUCUAUUGAUAUGUCUAAGAGCGGUGCCAUCCUUUUCUAUUUUUGUGCUCUAUGCGAAGUGGAGGUUUAGCCAAAAGCUCGCCGUG
Molecule: long non-coding RNA, 414 nt
Filed under: Musa acuminata (dwarf banana)
Lineage: Eukaryota; Viridiplantae; Streptophyta; Magnoliopsida; Zingiberales; Musaceae
Description: long non-coding RNA (MACU_LNC005943)
Source: RNAcentral